UGUGUGUGUGUGUGUAUAUAUGCUUGUAUAUAAAUGCAAACACUCCUAUGCUCCUCUACUCAAAUAUGUGUCUAUUGAAGUUUGUGCACCAUAUUUUAGCAAAUCUGCAAGUCUACUUUUAAUUUAUGUCAAGAAUUUUAGCAUAAACACUAUUUUAGCUGAAAUCACAAAGUGGUUCUUAUUUUUAGUGGAACAGAAAAAUACGUUCUGUGAGUUAUGUCUCUCACUUUGCAUGUUGCAAUGAGGACAGAUUGGCAUAGCCCUUGGGAGCAAUCACUAUAAAAGGACCCCUAUUACCAAUAAUCAUUCAUACAAUUGAAAUAAGCAUGGUGGUGGUAUUAUUUUGUUCAAAUGCUAGCAACAAGUUGAUAUCCUGAAUUGUUUUCUCAUAAUGAUUUUUGAGGUUUAAAUUUUUCCUUCAUUUUUGUUUUGUUCUUCUGACAUCUAUAUGGUUUUCGUGUCCAGCUGUAAUGACUCUGGUCGACACACAAGCUCACAUGACAAUGAUGAUUGGUUAAACAGGAGAUGGCAGCAUUCAUCAUCUACUGUAUUUAUAUCUUAUUACACUUGAAACACAGGAGUUAUAAGCGUUUCUGGGCUCUGUUGCCUUGCCAUUUCCUGUCAAUAUUUUUUGGAAGGAUGCUUGGAGUUAAAAACAUGUACAGAAAGUUGGGAACCAAGUCGGAGUCCAGAUUUUGUCCAAAGAUAAUGUGCCUGGCUUUUUCUUUUUAUUUUUUAAUAUCAAUUUAUGGCAGCUCCAAAACGAAACUAUCUGUGAGCCGUCCUGCUGAUAUUGUUGUAUUUACUUCAUGCCAGCAUCAAAUUGAAGAAAUCUAAUGUAUUAUCCUCUGUAUUUAUUACCUGAAGAAUCCUAUGGAAUAUUUAGACAUUCAACUCAAUUAAACCUUUAUCUAAAAAAUUUUUUGGGAUGGCUAUUUAGAC
RNAcentral lists this unclassified non-coding RNA (942 nucleotides) under Hevea brasiliensis (rubber tree). Lineage: Eukaryota; Viridiplantae; Streptophyta; Magnoliopsida; Malpighiales; Euphorbiaceae. The record is from RNAcentral.